GAUGAACGCUGGCGGCGUGCCUAAUACAUGCAAGUCGAGCGAACGGACGAGAAUCUUGCUUCUCUGAUGUUAGCGGCGGACGGGUGAGUAACACGUGGAUAACCUACCUAUAAGACUGGGAUAACUUCGGGAAACCGGAGCUAAUACCGGAUAAUAUUUUGAACCGCAUGGUUCAAAAGUGAAAGACGGUCUUGCUGUCACUUAUAGAUGGAUCCGCGCUGCAUUAGCUAGUUGGUAAGGUAACGGCUUACCAAGGCAACGAUGCAUAGCCGACCUGAGAGGGUGAUCAGCCACACUGGAACUGAGACACGGUCCAGACUCCUACGGGAGGCAGCAGUAGGGAAUCUUCCGCAAUGGGCGAAAGCCUGACGGAGCAACACCGCGUGAGUGAUGAAGGUCUUCGGAUCGUAAAACUCUGCUAUUGGGGAAGAACAUAUGUGUAAGUAACUGUGCACAUCUUGACGGUACCUAAUCAGAAAGCCACGGCUAACUACGUG
This 497-nucleotide ribosomal RNA is filed under the name uncultured bacterium. RNAcentral describes it as "partial 16S ribosomal RNA". It matches the Rfam family "Bacterial small subunit ribosomal RNA", at positions 28 to 507 of the family's 1533-position model. The record is from RNAcentral.